ACUACGAUGGUUCCUCCACCUAACUCAGCGCAAAGAUACUUGCCAACUUUGACUGAUUUAAACUGAAGUCCAGUUCCAUCCAAGAAAUCUUUGUUGGGGAUGCCAUCAAAAAGAGAAGGCUUGAUCCAUCCUUCUGUAACAAGCCAACCUCCAAGAUUUACUGCUUUAAUUUUAAAGCUGGGAUUUACUCUACCAUGGGAGAGAGAUACCGUUAAAG
This 217-nucleotide unclassified non-coding RNA is filed under the name Hevea brasiliensis (rubber tree). The record is from RNAcentral. Lineage: Eukaryota; Viridiplantae; Streptophyta; Magnoliopsida; Malpighiales; Euphorbiaceae.